Long non-coding RNA from Thamnophis elegans (Western terrestrial garter snake), 2258 nucleotides. RefSeq lists it as uncharacterized. The record is from RefSeq and is a predicted model, not a curated record. The transcript is spliced from 2 exons. Lineage: Eukaryota; Metazoa; Chordata; Lepidosauria; Squamata; Natricidae.
GGCAAAAGUACCGGCUGCAGUCUCAGAGCAUCGAGACCGCACGUCUGUACCGUGGGGACAUUGGCUCCUCCCUCUGGCCACUGUAUUUCUUGAACUGUACCUGGAAGGUGCCCUGACCCACGACUCGGUUCUCCUGGUAAUUGCAAAGGUGGCUGUUAGGGGCACAUAGAUGCUGCUUCUUCAGGCUAGGGAUAGCCUGCUUCAAUGUGGACCACAGCAUGAUGGUCAGUGAUAACCCUGUGUCGAUCUCCAUCUCGCAUGGAGAGCCCUUGAUGAGGAUUGUGACCUUCAGGUUUUUUGGCCACCUAGUGCGGACUUGGCCAAUUGAGGCGUGGUAGGUGACUCUGGUGUCACCCUCUGAAUGCUGUGGUGGCUUCUGCCAUGCCCCUUGGUUGGGCCUUUGCUGGUGGUUAGCUCAGUUUCUUGGCUGCCACGUCAUCGUGGGGUGCUCGCUUCUGCAAACUUUGGCGAUGUGCCCUUUUUGCUCACAGUACUGGCAGAUAGCACCAUGGAAAUGUCAAGCCGAUCGGGCAUGGUCUCCUCUGCAGCUAGCGUAAGGCAGGAAUCAUGGUUCGAAUUUCUGUGCUGGCUUCACAUGGCUAUUGUGCAAACGGCAGCUGUCAGUAGCUAUGUGUGCUUUCACGCAUCUUGUGGAGUACUUUGGCACUGCGGGAUUUCUGUUGACUUGACAGCCAAUUCCUGGGUUCGUCCAAGGCAAUUUGUAGAGUGAGGUUAGAUUUGGCGAGUAACCUCCUCUGUAAAUUAAUGUCCUGCACACCGCAUAUGAUGCAGCCAAGAAUAAAGGUCUUGGAACUCGGAGUAUGCUGCAGCUUUUGGUAGCACCACAAUGUAGUUGUUGAUUGAUUCACCUUUUUUCUGGUUGUGAAUAUUAAAUUCGUGCCGGCAACGUACUUAGACAGCUUGGGAGCACAGUGAGUCCUCAGCGUCUGCUGGAGCACGGACCAAGUGACCGAUUGUAACUGGGAGGCAGAGGCUAAAGGGUUGGGGCCGGUGAGUGGGAGGGGCUACAUUCAGUGUAUGAGACACACCCAAAUUUUCAGCCUCUUUUGGGGGGAAAAGUUGCGUCUUAUACUCCGAAAAAUACUGUAAUAACUCAUCAAGUGGAAUUUAUUUUCUGUGUUCAGAAAUUCUCUCUUUAGCUAUAAAUAAGUUUUAUCUGGAGUUGGUUAAGAAAUGAUGAUCCCUGUCCCAUAGGAAACAGUGAAACCCAGCAUUUGCCGAAGGAUGCAGAGUGCGAUUAGAUGCAUGAGAAUUCAGGAUUGAAGAAAGAAUGAAGGACAGUUCAGCAUGUCAGAAGAUGAGUUCAAACUACAUUUAGUAAGAUAGUGCAACUGUUGCAGUGUUUAAAAUCUCAGAAAAUUUCUGAAAGGAAGUCAAAAGAUGCAAUGACCUUAGCAACAUAGAUUGUCAAUAUUAAUUUCCCAAAGUGAUCUUUUAAUAUAUCCAGUUCAUGUCCCAACAAUACAUUUCAUUCCUUUCAUGUACAGGGACUAAAUAGUCUCAUUAUUUCUUUCUUUUCCUUCAUCUAGCCAAUUGUCCCUAUGUUUACACAAAAUACUAGAAAAGCAUAUGUAACAUAUGGAAAUAUAAACUCAAAGGGCAAUAGAGGCUUUAUGGGACAAACACCAGGAAACCCCAGGAAGCAUAUUGCAUGCUCUUAGGCAAUGCUUUGAGACUCAUAACAAAGAAAAACAGUUUUAAAACAGCAAUUUAAGCUUUUGUUCUACCUUAAUGUCCAGAUCCAAAAUUGCAGUUAGUUAUACAAAUCCCUCUUCAAGACUCUGGACCAGCUUAAAUUCAAACCGGAAGAGAAGCUGGGAACAUCUUACUCUUUUGCCGAGUGAAGAAAAGGAAGGAGAAGAAAGCAAAGCAGAACAAAACAAAAACAAAAAAAAAACAAAACAAAAAAAAACAAACCCCUUCGUAUUUCCCAGUUUGAAUUCCGUUAUUAUUCUGUUGUUAUUCUUUCCCUUGGCAGGUCCGGUCUCUUGUGGCUGCUCGCAAUAUAUCACAUGAAGACAGGCUUGCAUAGUGAUGCAAUUUCAAAAGUUCUGAUUUAUAGCAUUAGUUAAUUAAAAACUCCCUCACAAUGAAAGUUAGGCAAAAGUUAAGUAAGAAGAAGUGCUUUUUUUUUUGAGUUAAGAUAUAUCAAUUGGAAAGAGUUCAAAAAAAAAUAAAUCUUUCAAAGUAUUUGGUUUCUUUUCUUUUUCAAAUAAAAAACCAAGUUUAAAAUUUUA